RNAcentral lists this transfer RNA (69 nucleotides) under Rattus norvegicus (Norway rat). It matches the Rfam family "tRNA". Rfam says of the family: Transfer RNA (tRNA) molecules are approximately 80 nucleotides in length. The record is from Rfam by way of RNAcentral. Lineage: Eukaryota; Metazoa; Chordata; Mammalia; Rodentia; Muridae.
GGGGAUUUAGCUCAGAGGUAGAGCGCUUGCCUAGCAAGCGCAAGGCCCUGGGUUCGAUUCCCAGCUCCG